GCGAAAGAGCUUUGUGCAUUCUUGCAUGACUAAGGAAGAAAUUUGUUAUUUUAAGUAUGCACUACAGAUAUUGCAAGGGCUUCGAGAUGCACCAUCAGGGCUGAAACGAGUCUUAUACCGGCUGCAAAAUUAUUAUGCUUUUGGGUCUUUCCUGAAUUUAGUUAGCAAUAAAUACUUCUAGAAUCCCUCUUGCAAUAUGUAAAAGAAGGAAAAGAGAACAUUGGAG
This is a non-coding RNA of Triticum urartu, 226 nucleotides long. Lineage: Eukaryota; Viridiplantae; Streptophyta; Magnoliopsida; Poales; Poaceae. The record is from RefSeq and is a predicted model, not a curated record.